GAUUUUGCGAAGAGAGGAAUUGCAGUAGCAUUUAUUUCCCUGUUAAAGAGAGCUGACGGUCGCUGUGAGUCAGUACAAAAAUAAAUGUGAAUUACGAUCCUGGAGCUUCUUUUUCGACAUAAGGCGUUUGUCUUAUCUAGGGAAAGACGGUGAUGAACCGUUAUUUCAAUGAAGUGGUGAACGUUUUUGUUCACAACUAGGGUGGUACCGCGAUCUCUCUCGUCCCUACU
RNAcentral lists this non-coding RNA (230 nucleotides) under Priestia koreensis. RNAcentral's name for it is "Bacillus koreensis T-box sequence". It matches the Rfam family "T-box leader". Rfam says of the family: Uncharged tRNA acts as the effector for transcription antitermination of genes in the T-box leader family. T-boxes are found upstream of many aminoacyl-tRNA synthetase genes and some amino acid biosynthetic genes usually in Gram-positive bacteria. Lineage: Bacteria; Bacillati; Bacillota; Bacilli; Caryophanales; Bacillaceae. The record is from RNAcentral.